GAGGCAAGCUUUCCUUGGCCAGAGAUGAAGGAGCUGGGUUGAAGAGUAGACCAACAGAUACUGUUAUUUCCACAGGUGGUGAGCUGCUUAUGAGAUAAUGAACCUCCUUAUCAGGGAGGGGCUCAAG
This 127-nucleotide long non-coding RNA is filed under the name Bos grunniens (domestic yak). RNAcentral describes it as "lncRNA (ENSBGRG00000021896.1)". Lineage: Eukaryota; Metazoa; Chordata; Mammalia; Artiodactyla; Bovidae. The record is from RNAcentral.